GAUGAACGCUGGCGGCGUGCCUAACACAUGCAAGUCGAACGAUGAAACCGCCCUCGGGCGGACAUGAAGUGGCGAACGGGUGAGUAACACGUGACCAGCCUGCCCCUUGCUCCGGGACAACCUUGGGAAACCGAGGCUAAUACCGGAUACUCCUCGCCCCCCUCCUGGGGGGCCCGGGAAAGCCCAGACGGCAAGGGAUGGGGUCGCGGCCCAUUAGGUAGUAGGCGGGGUAACGGCCCACCUAGCCCGCGAUGGGUAGCCGGGUUGAGAGACCGACCGGCCACAUUGGGACUGAGAUACGGCCCAGACUCCUACGGGAGGCAGCAGUGGGGAAUUUUGCGCAAUGGGGGAAACCCUGACGCAGCAACGCCGCGUGCGGGACGACGGCCUUCGGGUUGUAAACCGCUUUCAGCAGGGAAGAAAUUCGACGGUAC
This 434-nucleotide ribosomal RNA is filed under the name uncultured bacterium. Its description in RNAcentral is "bacterial SSU rRNA". It matches the Rfam family "Bacterial small subunit ribosomal RNA", at positions 28 to 478 of the family's 1533-position model. The record is from RNAcentral.